ACGAAAGCGCUACUCUUCCGGAUGUGAAUAUAAGUAAUUAUUCCAUAUUAUUUUAAAAUAUAUUUGUAUAAGUAUUUACGUCUAUCCUGCAGUAAGUUUUCAAUUCAGUGGUGGCCAUGGAGCGUAUCAACCUGGAGUCGCCACGAUGGGACCAGACCACGUACAUGGGCCGUGCCCGCCACUUUAUCAGCAUCACCAAUCCACUGAACGUGUUCGCCACCUCAGCUGAACUGGAUGCCGCCAAGGACAUUAUCAGCCGCUACAGAGCUGGCGAGCCGCUGAAGCUGUCUGAGGACGAGCUGUGGCGGGCCAAGACGCUCUACGACUCGGCCUUCCACCCGGACACGGGCGAGAAGAUGCUCCUCAUCGGCCGCAUGUCGGCCCAGGUGCCGUGCAACAUGACCAUCACCGGCUGCAUGAUGACCUUCUACAAGACGACGCCGGCCGUCGUGUUCUGGCAGUGGGUCAACCAGUCGUUCAACGCCCUGGUCAACUACACCAACCGCAGCGGCGACUCUCCCAUCUCGCCCAAGCAGCUGGGUACAUCCUAUGUGCUGGCCACGGGAGGAGCGCUCACCACGGCACUCGGUCUCAACAGCCUGGUUAAGACGGCGCCGCCGCUGGUCGGCAAACUGGUGCCGUUCGCUGCUGUAGCGGCCGCCAACUGCGUCAACAUACCCAUGAUGAGGUCCAAGGAGAUGGCCGACGGUAUCCAGCUGUUUGACGCCGAGGGCCGGUGCGUGGGCCGCUCGCCGUCUGUGGCCAAAUGGGCCAUCGCCAUGGUGACUGUGUCCAGAAUCGGGAUGGCCAUACCGUCCAUGGUGGGCAUCCCCAUCAUCAUGACUAAGCUGGAGAAGAGAGGCUUCAUCAAGCGCUUCCCCUACCUCAACGCGCCGCUGCAGGUGCUGCUGUGCGGGUUCUUCCUGACAUUCGCCACGCCGCUGUGCUGUGCGCUCUUCCCGCAAAAGUCGGCCGUCGACGUGACCCGACUGGAGCCGGAGGUGCAGGAGGCGAUCAACAAGCUGCCCAACGCGCCGAAGGUGGUCUACUACAACAAGGGCCUGUAGACGCGGCCGCGGCUCCGGCGCUCACCCCAUCUGACCCGGUCAGACCCCCGACUCAGAGUGUCCUGGCACUGAACAGCGCCCCGGUGCAUGUGUCAACUCGUGGAGCAGCUGAGAAAUGAGUGGGACUCCCCGCACCGCGUAGGCUGUAGCUAGGUGGAGCCGGCUGGGGUGUGCUUAUGUUUACGUAGGGUGAUAGUCGCUCGGCGUAUAGUUGGACGGGAAAUGUGAUGGAUUAUACCAUAUAAUCAUAUUCUAGGAGGGGCCGUUGGCGUGAUGGCUUGGUCGGUCAUAGGGAUGCUUGUUAGUGUUGCGAUAGAGCAGAAUCAGAAAUGGCAUUUCCGAUAAUCCAAUCAUCCCACUAAUCGAUCAAAAGACAAUAAGGAGGAGCUAUUCACAAGAAAGUGCUUCUCUGUGAAGCACUUUCUUAGAGACCGAGUUUUCUUAAGUAGACCGAGUAAAGAUACCCGGCACCCACACAGUAGGCUUUCAAAGGCUCUGACCAUGACAUAUUCAGGCAUGGUCUAAUUUUGGUGCGAUUCACGAUUGGUUCAGUCGCUGUUCUCGGGUGUUGAAUGCCACAUCCGAUGGGCAUGCUUGUGGCUGGAACCGGGCGUUGAUGUAGCGGGAACUAGUGGGUGAGCUCAGGAGCAGGAUGGGUGUCGCGGAAUUUGUGCAAUACGGAGCGCUCUGACGGGGCUGUUGAAUGAGCUGGUGAGGACUGCGACGUCCUCUGAGGAACGGCGCCGGGGGAGGAGCGGAAACUGUUGGUGUGGUGGCGGGCGACCCAGCGGCGGAAGGUGGCGCGGCGAGAGACAGGGUCAGCUACUGAGGGCAUCGACUGGAACGGAGAGAACACGGAAAUGAACACUGUGGUGCUAAAAGCACGAUGAAAACGACAUGUGAAAACGGUGGCUAGUCAGCAUAAUGUAUAAGAUCUGAUUCUGGUCGUUCCGGCGGGGAACUAAAAACUAAUGAUCUGGUUAGACAGCACGCACACGCACUCAGUCUUCCGAUGGCUCGUCUAGCGGCAAAGUAUAUUACUUUAGCCGGCCUCUGGUGUGUAUCAGUUGGAACAUAACCGGCUCGAGUGUGUAGAGUUCACCAGUGUGCCAUAGCAGGAUGGUACACCCCAAUCCCUGAAUUUGGACGCGGAGCAUAUCGCUCGUGCGGACGUGGGCUUCUGGCACCCCGGUAGUUAGCUGUGCUGCUUGUGCUGUAACGAUUCGGUAAUUGUGGCAGUGUGUCGCAGUCGGACCAUCUGUACUGCGUGGCGGGAGCCUGUGGGUGACGUGGAUGGACUAAUGCUGACUGAGUGAUUGGAUGUAAGCUCCUGGGCAUUGGGUUUGUAUUUGUCUAGUUUUCGAUUUUCGGAAGGUCAGGAUUGGUGCCAUUUUGUUCGUGACGUGUUGAACGAUUGUUUUGUGGACCUUCAGCUCAGGAAUGUGGGAAUUCGACGCUGAAUUCAUUAUAAAACUGCCUAAACCUGCCAGCAAACGUAUAACGUAAUGCUAAUGCAUUCUUUGAUAUGUGCAAUGUGCAUCGUACAAUAUGCACUCAUUUAAUGCGCAACUUGUAAUUUGAGAGCGAGAGCAGGUGGCAUUCAUAUCACAUCGUGCGAUUUUUAAACCCGCGACGGAUGCUCGUCUUAACCCUGCCACUAAUAUGGGGUAGCCAGGAGCCUGCCACUAAUAGGGUUAAUCCGUCAGUUAUUACGUUGGAAAUGCUAUCGAUUGUUCCAUGUUGAUGGUGAUGUGUAUAUAAUGAUAUGCAUGAUUUAGUCAGUAUCAACCUCAGACCCGGGCUAGAGCUCAGCGGAGCGCUCACGGCGGAAGUAUUCGUUUGACGAUAUGUACCCGUUAGUUCAUUUUGUAGACGUCAGCUAUUAGUAUUCCAUCGUGCCAUGCGUUCCAUCUGCCAUCUGUGUCGAUUAUCUAAUGGUGCAAUAAUACAUCUGGAUCGAUGGAA
Molecule: unclassified non-coding RNA, 3032 nt
Filed under: Amphibalanus amphitrite
Lineage: Eukaryota; Metazoa; Arthropoda; Thecostraca; Balanomorpha; Balanidae
Description: sideroflexin-1-like, transcript variant X7
Source: RNAcentral